GCUGUGGAAGCUUGGAGUCCUAACAACUGGAUCACCAGAGAAUUCCCCAGGAUGGUUCAGCAGCAUCAGGGUCUUUGCAUCAGGUGGCCAAAGUAUUGGAUAAGAAACCAUGACAGGCACCAAGCAGAAGAUGAAAUUAAAUGACUUUCCAAGCCAGAGAUUCUGAGAUUCCACAUCCUGAGGUUCUAAAGUGUGAAGAGUUGAAAGCUGUGUGAUUGUAAAGUUUCAGGAUGAUGUCUUCUUUCCUGUGGGGAAUGAGGUCUGCCAGCAACUUCAGGAACUGCUCAUCCUCAUAGUCAAAGCGACUUCCAAAGACGACGGAACUGAUGACGUUGGAGACAGUGCGGCUCAGGAAGAAAGGGGCACAGGUUCGAUCCCUGGUCUGGGAAGAUUCCACGUGCUGAGAAGCCGCUAAGCCAAUGCCCCACAGCUACUGAGCCUGAGUGCUCUAGAGCCUGAGAGCUACAACCACUGAUCCUGUGCGCUGCAACUACUGAAGCCCUCUCGUCAAGAGCCUGUGCUCUGCAAUGAGAAGCCCACACACCACAACGAAGAGUAACCCCUGCUCGCUGCAACUAGAGACAGCCUGCACAGAAAUGAAGAACCAGCGCAGCUAAAAAUAUUAAAAAAGAAGAAAAAAAAAGAAGUGAACUGUCCUGGAGAGUCACAGAGUUUUGGAAAGAAGUGGAGUUUCGCUCUAUUGAAGCCAGUUCUCCACGGCCACUGAACUCAUCUGCUCGGUCAACCAGGGCCUCCUUCACUGCUUCAUGUCCACAUAAAACAACCACUGGCCGGGGACCCAUGUACACGGUGAAGACUGGACCAUAUUUCUCCUUGAGCUGAGUGAAGGAAGACAUAAGAGGAGGUGGCUGAUUGCAGUACUAAGUGACAACAAGUCAAGGAUUUUAGGAGAUGGCAAUUUCAAGGAACAUGGGAAUAACAGAUAAAAUUGAGUCCUGGGCUUGGAAAGCCUACUGAUAAAGAGACACAGAAGUCUUGGCUUCUGUGAUCCUGGGCAAGAUCCCCCAAUGCUGCUACAAGCCUUGGUUUCCGCAUCUGUAAAACAGUGGACCUAGAUGAGAUGGAAUUCCAAGAUCCGUGUGUCUCGUCCUGAAGUACUGCCUUUUCUAGAAUAAUCCUAAGAUUUCAUGAUACUGAGUCAAAGUCUGAAGACCAACAGAGUGCAAGAGUUCUUGUGUCUAAGGAUAGAAGGUACUGUUUAUUCCAGGGACUUGCCUGGAGGCCCCAUGGUUAAGACUUUAUGCAAGGGGUGCAUGCGGGUUUGAUCCCUGUUCAGGGAACUAGGAUCCCACAUGCCUUGUGGCCAGAAAACCAAAACAGAAAAACAGAAUCAAUAUUAUAAUAAAUUCAACAAUGACUUUAAAAAUGGUCCACAUUGAAAAAACUCUUUAACAAGUAGUGCAAUGCAACAUAUUUUUCUUUUUAAAGAAGAAGUUACUGUUAUUCCAAAGUCCUGAAGGUCUUAAGUUUCAAUGUGCUAGGAGUCUGUGUUUCCAAGAGUUUAAGAUUCUGGAAUUCCAGAAAUCUAAGGUUAUGUUUCCAAGAGCCUUUGUUAUAGAAUUCAGAAAUUUCUACACUAUCUCCCUAUAGAAUGAGUUGCUUCUAGCUGUGUGAAAGUAGACAGACUCACCUUCAUGAAAGACUGAAAAGUGGCAUCAGUACGAACUUGCAACACGUUCCCCAGGAAAGGGAUCGGUGUGGGACCAGGCGGCAGCUUUCCCCCUUUGCUCAUCCGUUUCCAGGCGAUGAGGAUGAGAAGAUAAGACAAGCAGAGUGCUAGAAAGAUGGUGAAGGCCCCUCCCAGCUCCAUGGUGCCAGGUCGAAGGACUGUGCCCAGGGCACCAGAUCCUACCUAAAUACAUCCUGGGAAAUCGACUCUGCAGAAAUCUGAACACCCUGGGAUUCAAGUUUUCUGGAAUGUGAAGAUCACCAGGAUGGACACAUGGCAAACAGGAAGAGGCUGCAGACCUCUCAGAUCUCCAUGUAACCAGGAAGAAGGAAUUGACCUUGGCCAUGGGCCCUGGCUACAAAGAUCCUGGGACUCAGCUUCUUCGGUAACCUGAAACUGCAGACCUCUCAGAUCACCAUGUAACCAGGAAGAAGGAAUUGACCUUGGCCAUGGGCCCUGGCUACAAAGAUCCUGGGACUCAGCUUCUUUGGUAACCCGAACACCUUCAGAUUAAAUUUCCUGGGGGUUGGAUCUCACUUGGGAGCUUACCAUGCUUCGGAGUUUAUAUAACUUCUAGUCCUUCCUCUGAAUGACCAUUGAGUGCCGAGCUCAUGAGGCGGUUCUCUCCACUUUGUCCCUUCAGUCCCCUCCUCAUUCAUGUCCACACACUCCAAUUUUAUCCUUUGAGAGCAUGGAGGGCUUCCCUGGUGUCUCAGACAGUAAAAAAUCUGUCUGUGAUGCAGGAGACCCAGGUUCAAUCCCUGAGUUGGGAAGAUCCACUGGAAGAGGGAAUGGUAAUCCACUCUAGUAUUCUUGCCUGGAGAAUCCCAUGGACAGAGGAGCCUGACAGGAUACAGUCCACGGGGUCACAAAAAUUCAGACAUGACUGAGAGACUGACACUUUCAUUCUUCUGGGUUUUAGAACAGUCUGAGUUUUGGAAGCUGAGUCCCAGGAUCUUUGUAGAAUCAGGAAGAACCAGGUUCAAGUCUGGCCUCUACAGCGUUCUUUCCUUCUUUUCUUUGCUGUGCCACAGGGCAUAUGGGAUCUUAGUUCUCUGGCCAGGGAUUGAACCCACGCCCCCUACAUUGGAAGGGUAGACUCUUAAACACUGGACCACCAAGGAAGUCCCAUCUCUGCAAAUUUCCUGGUGCAUGUGAUCUUGAACAAGACACCUCAUUUCUUUGUACCUCUGUUUUCUCAUUUCUGAAAAAUGAUAAUACCAAUAAAAGUACCUCCCUGAGACUUCUCUGGUGGUCCUGGAAUUGGCUCUUUCACUGCUGGGGUCUGGCACAGUCACUAAAAAAAAAAAAAGUACCUCCCU
This is a long non-coding RNA of Cervus elaphus (red deer), 3012 nucleotides long. RefSeq lists it as uncharacterized. The transcript has 6 exons. The record is from RefSeq and is a predicted model, not a curated record. Lineage: Eukaryota; Metazoa; Chordata; Mammalia; Artiodactyla; Cervidae.